Molecule: microRNA precursor, 205 nt
Filed under: Oryza rufipogon (brownbeard rice)
Lineage: Eukaryota; Viridiplantae; Streptophyta; Magnoliopsida; Poales; Poaceae
Description: MIR812 microRNA precursor family
Rfam family: MIR812 microRNA precursor family
Source: Rfam by way of RNAcentral
AAAAAGACAAACCCUGGGUUUCCGUGCCAACGUUUGACUGUCCGUUUUAUAUGAAAUUUUUUUAUAAUUAGUAUUUUCAUUGUUAUUAGAUGAUAAAACAUAAUUAAUACUUUAUGCGUGACUUAUCUUUUUAAUCUUUUCAUAAUUUUUUUAAAUAGGACGGACGGUCAAACGUUGGACAAGGAAACCCGGGUUUGUCUUUUUU